This 105-nucleotide small nuclear RNA is filed under the name Sus scrofa (pig). The record is from RNAcentral. Lineage: Eukaryota; Metazoa; Chordata; Mammalia; Artiodactyla; Suidae.
GCAUUCUUCAGCAGCACAUAUACUAAAAUUGGAAUAAUACAGAGAAGAUUAGCAUGAUUCCUAUGCAAGGAUGACACACAAAUUCAUGAAGCAUACCAUAUUUUU